UUUAUGGAGAGUUUGAUCCUGGCUCAGGAUGAACGCUGGCGGCGUGCCUAAUACAUGCAAGUCGAGCGAACGGACGAGAAGCUUGCUUCUCUGAUGUUAGCGGCGGACGGGUGAGUAACACGUGGAUAACCUACCUAUAAGACUGGGAUAACUUCGGGAAACCGGAGCUAAUACCGGAUAAUAUUUUGAACCGCAUGGUUCAAAAGUGAAAGACGGUCUUGCUGUCACUUAUAGAUGGAUCCGCGCUGCAUUAGCUAGUUGGUAAGGUAACGGCUUACCAAGGCAACGAUGCAUAGCCGACCUGAGAGGGUGAUCGGCCACACUGGAACUGAGACACGGUCCAGACUCCUACGGGAGGCAGCAGUAGGGAAUCUUCCGCAAUGGGCGAAAGCCUGACGGAGCAACGCCGCGUGAGUGAUGAAGGUCUUCGGAUCGUAAAACUCUGUUAUUAGGGAAGAACAUAUGUGUAAGUAACUGUGCACAUCUUGACGGUACCUAAUCAGAAAGCCACGGCUAACUACGUGCCAGCAGCCGCGGUAAUACGUAGGUGGCAAGCGUUAUCCGGAAUUAUUGGGCGUAAAGCGCGCGUAGGCGGUUUUUUAAGUCUGAUGUGAAAGCCCACGGCUCAACCGUGGAGGGUCAUUGGAAACUGGAAAACUUGAGUGCAGAAGAGGAAAGUGGAAUUCCAUGUGUAGCGGUGAAAUGCGCAGAGAUAUGGAGGAACACCAGUGGCGAAGGCGACUUUCUGGUCUGUAACUGACGCUGAUGUGCGAAAGCGUGGGGAUCAAACAGGAUUAGAUACCCUGGUAGUCCACGCCGUAAACGAUGAGUGCUAAGUGUUAGGGGGUUUCCGCCCCUUAGUGCUGCAGCUAACGCAUUAAGCACUCCGCCUGGGGAGUACGACCGCAAGGUUGAAACUCAAAGGAAUUGACGGGGACCCGCACAAGCGGUGGAGCAUGUGGUUUAAUUCGAAGCAACGCGAAGAACCUUACCAAAUCUUGACAUCCUUUGACAACUCUAGAGAUAGAGCUUUCCCCUUCGGGGGACAAAGUGACAGGUGGUGCAUGGUUGUCGUCAGCUCGUGUCGUGAGAUGUUGGGUUAAGUCCCGCAACGAGCGCAACCCUUAAGCUUAGUUGCCAUCAUUAAGUUGGGCACUCUAAGUUGACUGCCGGUGACAAACCGGAGGAAGGUGGGGAUGACGUCAAAUCAUCAUGCCCCUUAUGAUUUGGGCUACACGUGCUACAAUGGACAAUACAAAGGGCAGCGAAACCGCGAGGUCAAGCAAAUCCCAUAAAGUUGUUCUCAGUUCGGAUUGUAGUCUGCAACUCGACUACAUGAAGCUGGAAUCGCUAGUAAUCGUAGAUCAGCAUGCUACGGUGAAUACGUUCCCGGGUCUUGUACACACCGCCCGUCACACCACGAGAGUUUGUAACACCCGAAGCCGGUGGAGUAACCUUUUAGGAGCUAGCCGUCGAAGGUGGGACAAAUGAUUGGGGUGAAGUCGUAACAAGGUAGCCGUAUCGGAAGGUGCGGCUGGAUCACCUCCUUU
This 1550-nucleotide ribosomal RNA is filed under the name Staphylococcus aureus. RNAcentral describes it as "16S ribosomal RNA". It matches the Rfam family "Bacterial small subunit ribosomal RNA". The record is from RNAcentral. Lineage: Bacteria; Bacillati; Bacillota; Bacilli; Caryophanales; Staphylococcaceae.